This 175-nucleotide unclassified non-coding RNA is filed under the name uncultured Chaetothyriales. Its description in RNAcentral is "sequence contains ITS1". The record is from RNAcentral. Lineage: Eukaryota; Fungi; Ascomycota; Eurotiomycetes; Chaetothyriales.
CCGAGUUAGGGUCUUCCAGGCCCGACCUCCAACCCUGUGUCUAAACUACUAUGUUGCUUUGGCGGGCCCGCCUCUAGGGGCCGCCGGGGGUCUUACUACCCCUGGCCAGCGCCCGUCAGUAGCCUUCUGAAAACUCUUUAUAACCGUGUCGUCUGAGUAUAAAUUUAAAUCGUUA